GAGGGUAUAGCUCAGUGGUAGAGUGCAUGCUUAGCAUGCACAAGGGCCUAGGUUCAAUUCCCAGUACCUCCA
Molecule: transfer RNA, 72 nt
Filed under: Camelus ferus (Wild Bactrian camel)
Lineage: Eukaryota; Metazoa; Chordata; Mammalia; Artiodactyla; Camelidae
Rfam family: tRNA
About the family: Transfer RNA (tRNA) molecules are approximately 80 nucleotides in length. Their secondary structure includes four short double-helical elements and three loops (D, anti-codon, and T loops). Further hydrogen bonds mediate the characteristic L-shaped molecular structure. tRNAs have two regions of fundamental functional importance: the anti-codon, which is responsible for specific mRNA codon recognition, and the 3' end, to which the tRNAs corresponding amino acid is attached (by aminoacyl-tRNA synthetases). tRNAs cope with the degeneracy of the genetic code in two manners: having more than one tRNA (with a specific anti-codon) for a particular amino acid; and 'wobble' base-pairing, i.e. permitting non-standard base-pairing at the 3rd anti-codon position.
Source: Rfam by way of RNAcentral